Molecule: ribosomal RNA, 504 nt
Filed under: uncultured bacterium
Lineage: Bacteria
Description: bacterial SSU rRNA
Rfam family: Bacterial small subunit ribosomal RNA
Source: RNAcentral
AUUGAACGCUGGCGGCGUGCCUAAUACAUGCAAGUCGAACGGUCUUUUCUAUGGAAGCUUGCUUCCACUGAGAAGAUAGUGGCGAACGAGUGAGUAACACGUGGGUAACCUGCCCAUAAGAGGGGGAUAACAUCCGGAAACGGGUGCUAAUACCGCAUAGUUUUCUCGAUCGCAUGAUUGAGAAAGGAAAGACGGCCUUUGUGCUGUCGCUUAUGGAUGGACCCGCGGCGUAUUAGUUAGUUGGUGAGGUAAUGGCUCACCAAGACGAUGAUACGUAGCCGACCUGAGAGGGUGAUCGGCCACAUUGGGACUGAGACACGGCCCAAACUCCUACGGGAGGCAGCAGUAGGGAAUCUUCCGCAAUGGACGAAAGUCUGACGGAGCAACGCCGCGUGAGUGAAGAAGGUUUUCGGAUCGUAAAACUCUGUUGUCAGAGAAGAACAAGUUGGAGAGUAACUACUCCAGCCUUGACGGUAUCUGACCAGAAAGCCACGGCUAACUACG